GAUGAACGCUGGCGGCGUGCCUAAUACAUGCAAGUCGAGCGAACAGACGAGGAGCUUGCUCCUCUGACGUUAGCGGCGGACGGGUGAGUAACACGUGGAUAACCUACCUAUAAGACUGGGAUAACUUCGGGAAACCGGAGCUAAUACCGGAUAAUAUAUUGAACCGCAUGGUUCAAUAGUGAAAGACGGUUUUGCUGUCACUUAUAGAUGGAUCCGCGCCGCAUUAGCUAGUUGGUAAGGUAACGGCUUACCAAGGCAACGAUGCGUAGCCGACCUGAGAGGGUGAUCGGCCACACUGGAACCGAGACACGGUCCAGACUCCUACGGGAGGCAGCAGUAGGGAAUCUUCCGCAAUGGGCGAAAGCUUGACGGAGCAACGCCGCGUGAGUGAUGAAGGUCUUCGGAUCGUAAAACUCUGUUAUUAGGGAAGAACAAAUGUGUAAGUAACUAUGCACGUCUUGACGGUACCUAAUCAGAAAGCCACGGCUAACUACGUG
RNAcentral lists this ribosomal RNA (497 nucleotides) under uncultured bacterium. Its description in RNAcentral is "partial 16S ribosomal RNA". It matches the Rfam family "Bacterial small subunit ribosomal RNA", at positions 28 to 507 of the family's 1533-position model. The record is from RNAcentral.